Long non-coding RNA from Cyprinus carpio carpio, 2238 nucleotides. The record is from Ensembl. Lineage: Eukaryota; Metazoa; Chordata; Actinopteri; Cypriniformes; Cyprinidae.
AACAGGCUAUAUUACAUAUUGUAAUAUUAUAUAAUGUUGUGCGCUAUCUGUCAUGCCCACUGAAGGCUCACUGAAGUGAACUAACCCUGGAACAGAAGCUGCUCCGGAGCAGGUUAAGUUCAGAGAACCUACAAUUUCCACUAGAAACCAUGUCGAAGGAAAAACUGGAAGGCCUGGUGAAGCGCAUGGAGGUGACCCUCGUGGAGAUGGAGCAGCUGAAGCUGCACUGUGGCCGGCAGAGUGAGGAGCUGAGCCAGCUGGUGGUGGAGCUCCGCAGGGAGAACCAGGAGCUCGCUGAGAAGUACAACCAGCUGGCCCAGGACAUGAAGGAGGCUAAGGAAAUCAUCGAGCAGUUGCAGGACACCAAGUACGCUUUUGACGCAAAGGAGAGGCAAGCCCAGAAGCUCAGCCGACAACUCUGAGAGACCACAAACAGACUGACAACCCAGGGUUCACUAGGUACAUGUUGGGAAUAUUUUUGAUUACAGAGACUUGUUACAAAGGAGAGAAGGAAACUACAUGGACUUUCUAUUAACAUAUUUAAUAACUACACGCUGUGUGCAUCUGCUGGUGUGUUUUAGGUUGAGGAGUGAACCAGUGUAAAAUAUGCCAAUGCUGAUGUUGAUUUAAAUGUACCUUAGUUCACCCCUAAAAUGUUUGUUUUCUGUGUAAUGAAAGAAUGGCAAUCUGCAAUUUUUUGCUAACAGAAAAUCCUAGAUUAUGGUUGAAGAAGAGGCAAAGCAAUGAUACUAGAAUCACUAAGCUGCCAGUAUUUGAAAUAUGAGGUAGUUGUAAAACUGUGGCAAUGACAAAGCAUCUUGAGAAGUGAAACCCUGUCGUUGAUCAAAGUAAAAUCACACUCUGGUUGAUUAAUGCCUGAACACAUGGUCGAUCUAUACAGAGGAUUAUCUAACCAAAUGUGAAAUAUCUGAAUCCUGCUGGCGACUGUACAUGUGAGUCAGUUGUUUAAAAGCAAUCAUGGAAACACUCUCUUUCUCUAACUCUCACUCUUUUGGACACUAAAACCAAAGGGUGGUGGUUAGGUUACAGAUCGUGCCAACAUGGGUUUUGAUGUCCUGUAUAGUUGCAGAGUUUAUAUCCAAAUGUAUCCUUUCCCAGGUCAUUGGUUUAGAAAGAUCUCUAGAUCUCUAGAUUUUGGACAUAGCAUGGAUUUUCAAAAUGCCUUUGAAAGAAAUCUUUACCUUGAUUUAUGGUUCCCUCAUCUUCUUCUCAACAUUACACAAGCUAUUCACUCACUUUAGAGGCUUCUCUAGUCCAUUUUUUGGUCCCCGUCACAAUAUGUGAAGCCAGCUAUUUAAGGGAAAAAGAGGUAUGCUGUUAGUCCAUCUAAACCUCAUAAAACAGUUCCAGUUAGUGGCCUGUUCCCAGUCUCCACAUCCUUUAAAGUCAAGGAAACUAUUCAAUUUGGGAAAUUAAGUAAAACUUUCUUUAGCACAAUGUCCACUAUUGGUGCAGUAGUUUCACAUUAAAAUGCCUUCUAAUUUGAAUGAGAAAUUUGUAAAAUAUUGGUAAAAAUUAUAAUUCCAGAUUGAAAUCAGUGAUUUUAUCCUUAUAUCUUUUAGAAGACCCAUAUGUCCCAGACAUGAAAUAUUUUGAUACUGGCAAAAGAAGUAAUUAGGCUAUAGUGCACUGUAGGGAAAACACUUGCAUAGCAUCCUGAAUGUAUGGCGUUAUCAGUCACCACUGUGUAAUGUUAUGUAUUUUUAUGCUAUGUUUUGAUUUCUACAGAGCUCUAAAGUGCUUCUCUGCUGAUUCACUCUGCUUACCUGAAGUUUAAUUCACUGAGUUCAUACAGCAUUGGGAAAGAGUUAUUUCCAAAAAUAAAUAAAUAAAUAAAAAUAAAUAAAUCAAUUAUUUAUAUUUAUUUAAUUUUUAACAAAUUCAUUUCAAUGUUUAAUGUAUAUUUAAUUUUGAUUGCCAUUUUAACAAAACUGAUUAAUGUCCUCUAAUAUAACACAUUAACCUGAAAUGUGAAAUAUGGUUUCCCAGAGGCUAUAAAGUUACUACACAACUACAUUUAACACUGGAUUAUGUCUAAAAUUAGAGUGAGGUGCUGUGAACGAAUAAAUACAAAUCCCAUCUUCAGGAGCCCAGGACUGAGACAGUGGAAAAAACAACAGAACCGCAUUCUAAAGGUAAAGGAUGGUGCAUGGAUGACUUUACACUGCUUUUCUGCCUCAGUGGUUUGUCUUAGAUGAGAUGACAGGUAUGAUGACU